AUUUCGGGGAAUUUGUUGCUGGUUGAUCAAUAGUUCUGGACGAAUUUUUUUUUCUUUUUUUUGUGUUUUAUCCUAAUUCAUCUCAGUAUUACAGUUCACAGAAAUUCAAAAUUGCAAUCAUUAACCUAAUCUUCGAAUUUUUUGAGGUUAUUUUAAAAUUUCGCACCAGUACCCCAAAAAAAUAAAAAAAUAAAAAAACCACUCAAGCCCUAAUUCCAACCAAACGUCUACUAUGUCUGCAAUUCACGCUCAUUUCUCUCACCCCGCCGACCUACGAUCGUCGUCACCACCGCUUUUGCAAGACCGCAAGUAUGUUAGACACUACAUUUAGCUUUAAGAAGCUAAGGGAGGAAUAUUUGCAUGGCCUGCCAAGUUUGUUAGAAGAACUUAGUCGUACUUGUUUUCAGAGUACAGAUUAACCCAAGUGAGAGGAUGCCACGUGGCGAGGUGGCACGUUGCCAUGAUGCGAGGUCGAACUUGAUGUGAGGUGGUUAGAGGAAAGCUGCCUAAAAGGCAGGAAGGACCUCAAACAGGUGGCAUGCUGACAUGUGGCGGUGCACUUCUUUAAGAGGUGGAUGGUGACACAUGAUCAAGGUGUUCUCUCUCAAAGAUAAGAUUGGUGGUAUGCCUAUUACCACUUUAAUACGGGGCAUCGUCCCUUACAAGGAUGAGGAUCACGGGAUUCAUUCAACCCAAACCUUUGUAAUGCAAAGCACUUCAAUGUCAAUCCCUUAUAAUACGGGGACGAUAAUUAUCGGAUUUAUUUAGCCCGGACCCUUAUAGUACAGGGUAUUUAAUGUUAAUCCCUUAUAACACUAGGACUAGAAUUACGGGAAUCAUUUAGCCCGGACCCCUAUAUCACGGAAUACUUAAUAUUAAUCCCUUAUAAUACGGAGACGAGAA
Long non-coding RNA from Cornus florida, 903 nucleotides. RefSeq lists it as uncharacterized. The transcript has 3 exons. The record is from RefSeq and is a predicted model, not a curated record. NCBI's taxonomy places the organism in Eukaryota, Viridiplantae, Streptophyta, Magnoliopsida, Cornales, Cornaceae.